This 391-nucleotide ribosomal RNA is filed under the name uncultured bacterium. RNAcentral describes it as "bacterial SSU rRNA". It matches the Rfam family "Bacterial small subunit ribosomal RNA", at positions 29 to 416 of the family's 1533-position model. The record is from RNAcentral.
AACGAACGCUGGCGGCGUGGAUAAGACAUGCAAGUCGAACGGGAGUUUGUUUAUAGCAAGUAUGGACGAACUCUAGUGGCGAAAGGGUGCGUAACACGUAGCUACCUACCUCGAAGUUUGGGAUAGCUCGGCGAAAGCCGGAUUAAUACCGAAUGUGAUCGUGAGAUCAAAGCUGGGGAUCGUAAGACCUGGCGCUUUGAGAUGGGGCUGCGGCCUAUCAGGUAGUUGGCGGGGUAAUGGCCCACCAAGCCUAAGACGGGUAGCUGGUCUGAGAGGACGACCAGCCACACUGGAACUGAGACACGGUCCAGACACCUACGGGUGCAGCAGUCGAGGAUUUUCUCAAUGGGGGAAACCCUGAAGGAGCGACGCCGCGUGAGGGAUGAAGGUC